This 95-nucleotide transfer RNA is filed under the name Pseudonocardia hydrocarbonoxydans. Its description in RNAcentral is "tRNA-Gly". The record is from RNAcentral. Lineage: Bacteria; Bacillati; Actinomycetota; Actinomycetes; Pseudonocardiales; Pseudonocardiaceae.
GGGGGCCCGGGGCGGGGCGGUACGCGCCCCCCGGAUCCGGCGGGGGGCAGGGGACGCCGGCCGGCCACGGCGCCGGUGGCUUCGGCGGCUCCCCC